GAUGAAGAACGCAGCGAAAUGCGAUAAGUAAUGUGAAUUGCAGAAUUCAGUGAAUCAUCGAAUCUUUGAACGCACAUUGCGCCCCCUGGUAUUCCGGGGGGCAUGCCUGUCCGAGCGUCAUUACAACCCUCAAGCUCAGCUUGGUAUUGGGCCCCGCCGCUCCGGCGGGCCCUAAAGUCAGUGGCGGUGCCGUCCGGCUCCGAGCGUAGUAAUUCUUCUCGCUCUGGAGGCCCGGUCGUGUGCUCGCCAGCAACCCCCAAUUUUUUUCAGGUUGACCUCGGAUCAGGUAGGGAUACCCGCUGAACUUAAGCAUAUCAAUAAGCGGAGGA
RNAcentral lists this unclassified non-coding RNA (329 nucleotides) under soil metagenome. RNAcentral's name for it is "partial contains 5.8S ribosomal RNA, internal transcribed spacer 2, and large subunit ribosomal RNA". The stretch from base 1 to 120 matches the Rfam family "5.8S ribosomal RNA", at positions 35 to 154 of the family's 154-position model. The record is from RNAcentral.